This 108-nucleotide non-coding RNA is filed under the name Streptomyces nanshensis. RNAcentral's name for it is "Glycine sequence". It matches the Rfam family "Glycine riboswitch aptamer". From Rfam's summary of the family: This family represents the bacterial glycine riboswitch. Glycine riboswitches usually consist of two metabolite-binding aptamers domains with similar structures in tandem. The aptamers cooperatively bind glycine to regulate the expression of downstream genes. The record is from RNAcentral. Lineage: Bacteria; Bacillati; Actinomycetota; Actinomycetes; Kitasatosporales; Streptomycetaceae.
UGAAUCCACGCGGGAGAGUUCCCGGCCGCGCGCACCAUGUGCGGGGCGGGACGCCGAAGGAGCAAGUCCUCCCUUGAAUCUCUCAGGCACCCAUACCGCGCAGGACGA